AAGAAACACAAUCAGCCUCAGUGACAGUCAGGCCCUCGCCACGGCCCGCCACUUGCCUCCUGUCAUUUGAGGAGGAAGACUGACUGGGAAAUCAAGAAGUUAUUGAAAAUAGAGAGCUGCACACGACACUCAACAAACAUGAAGGACAAAAUGGCGCUGCUGCAAUGGCUGUGGCUAUGCUCUAUAAUCUACAGCACACAAGAGGACGACAGACUUCGUGUCUUACAGAAGACACAACACUUGUGGCAAGACUAUGACAGGAUCUUCAAGCAGCUCUCUUCUUAUGGUGUAGCAUUUUGUGAAAUCCUGCUGAGUCCUCAGGGAUAAUGUGGCUGAGCUUUGCAACAGAAGCAUCAUAAGUGCUGCUGUCUCCACUGUACAAAAGGUGUUUCCCACAUCACUGCUGAAGACUAGAAAUGGAGAUGAGAUUUAAGCCACGUAAUUCUGGAAAAGGGGAGAGGGAGGAAAAAAAAAGAAUUAGAAGUCAACCCAGAGUGUCACUAUGGAAGGUAAAUAUGUGAGAGAGAGAGAGAGAGAGAGAGAGAGAGAGAGAGAGAGAGAGAGAGAGAGAGAGAGAGAGAGAGAGAGAGAGAGAGAGAGAUGAAAUGCUGUGGUGAGUGACUGGUUCAUAAACAGACUGUGGGGAACAUCCUGUAGCCUGUGGGACUAUAGCUGUAUUGUGUUGAAUUAUUCACCCUGGUUGCUUGCUGGUUGCCCAGCUAGCCUUUCUGCUACAGAAAGAGUUCAGACUAUAAAAUGUCAGGAUAAGUCCUGACCGAUCUCUGGGUAGGACUUGAGACCACACCACAUACCACACCCCAGAAAACGAAGGCCACAGUCCACCGAGUUACAUACCAUACCUAUUUACUGCUAUGAAUAGGGGCUCCACAUUAAGAAGCUCGCACAUUUGCCUUGCCAUGCCCGGGAAUAAAACCCGUGCCCUUUCAGUUGAGGCGGGCGUGCUGUGUUGUGUGGUGUGUGUGUGUGUGUAAGUAAGGUUUUAUUGGGAUUUUUAUUUAAAGUAUCCAAACAGAUACACAAUACAUACAUAUACCCGGCAUGGUCAGUCAAGUCAAGACUGCUAAACUGUACCUGGUAAAUAAAUUGAUUGUCAAUAUGUCUGCAUACUUUAAAAAUAGCAAUAAAACUUUAGUUACAAACUUACUUACUUACUACAAACACAUACACACACACCACAGGCACAUAGGAUGUACACCACAGUAUAUUUAUAAACCAGUCACUUACCACAGCAUUUCACAAUUCCCUCUUUCUAUUCAGAGAGAGAGAGAGUGCGUAUGUGAGUGAGUGCCUGCAUAUGCAAGUAAGUGUGAGUGUGUAUGAGUGCAAAUGCAUGUGUGUUUGUGUUUGUGUGUGUGUGUGUGUGUGUGUGUGUUUGAUCUGCUGCAGUCUCUGACGAGACAGCCCCUGAACGAGCUCAGAGCU
Molecule: long non-coding RNA, 1443 nt
Organism: Portunus trituberculatus (swimming crab)
Lineage: Eukaryota; Metazoa; Arthropoda; Malacostraca; Decapoda; Portunidae
Exons: 4
Source: RefSeq, a predicted model, not a curated record